UACGUAUGGAGCAAGCGUUAUCCGGAUUUACUGGGUGUAAAGGGAGCGUAGGCGGCCCUGUAAGUCUGAUGUGAAAAUUUGGGGCUCAACCCCAAACGUGCAUUGGAAACUGCAGGGCUUGAGUGCCGGAGAGGCAGGCGGAAUUCCUAGUGUAGCGGUAAAAUGCGUAGAUAUUAGGAGGAACACCAGUGGCGAAGGCGGCCUGCUGGACGGUAACUGACGCUGAGGCUCGAAAGCGUGGGGAGCAAACAGG
RNAcentral lists this ribosomal RNA (253 nucleotides) under uncultured bacterium. Its description in RNAcentral is "partial 16S ribosomal RNA". It matches the Rfam family "Bacterial small subunit ribosomal RNA", at positions 524 to 776 of the family's 1533-position model. The record is from RNAcentral.